This is a long non-coding RNA of Gorilla gorilla gorilla (western lowland gorilla), 729 nucleotides long. RefSeq lists it as uncharacterized. Lineage: Eukaryota; Metazoa; Chordata; Mammalia; Primates; Hominidae. The transcript is spliced from 3 exons. The record is from RefSeq and is a predicted model, not a curated record.
CAAACACACGCACCAAGAAGUCAUCAAAGACAGCCCAACUCACAGCCCAUGAGGGGCCCUGAGUACUGCCUCUGACCUCUCUAUGGCAAGCCAAAUGGCCAUGGGAAGACCCCAUGGAGUGUCAGAAUGAUGCCGUUGAGGGCAAGGAUUUUAGACCGGUCAUGGAUUCUGCCUGUGCACUGGGCUCUACCACUUUCUAGCUAUCUGGCUACCAGCAAGUUACCUUAACAGCCUAAGUUUCAACCUCCCCAUUCGUGAAAUGGAGAUGAUGUCUUAGUCAUAGGGGUAGCAAGUCUACUGCAUAUCAAGAGUGUAGCACUGAGCCUGGCUCUUCGUAAGUGUUCAAUAAGGAAACAGGCCGAGAGACGCAAGUCAAACAGCAAAGGAUGGGCUGCUGUCUGUCUGACUCCAAUGCCAAAGGUCUUUCCUCUAUAACCUAAAGCAAUAAAACCCCUGCAACAUCUAUCUUAUUAUUACAGAAAUUAUAAGGUUCAAUAUACCCCCCCACCACAACCACUAAUAUUACAGCUGCACAACGGCAGUCCUCACCGAGGAAUUAAUCCAGCCCAGGGAGACAGACAUGAUAUUACAUCUGACGACAGUGUAGAGGAUGCAGCAGGGAGAGAAUGAAGGCAAAAAGUGAAGUUCUUCCAACUCAUGUUGCAGUAAGACUGCCUUUGGAAUCUGCAGGGCCCUUUUAGUAGGCAGUAAAGGAAGCAUUUCAAGGAA